GUUUCAAUGCUUGUUCUAAUGCAUUAUGCUCUUUUAC
RNAcentral lists this non-coding RNA (37 nucleotides) under Methanococcus vannielii SB. The record is from RNAcentral. Lineage: Archaea; Methanobacteriati; Methanobacteriota; Methanococci; Methanococcales; Methanococcaceae.